This is a long non-coding RNA of Melospiza melodia melodia, 1761 nucleotides long. RefSeq lists it as uncharacterized. The record is from RefSeq and is a predicted model, not a curated record. The transcript is spliced from 7 exons. Lineage: Eukaryota; Metazoa; Chordata; Aves; Passeriformes; Passerellidae.
GGGCGAUGUCGCGGACUUUUAAUUGACCUUCUCAGCAUGGCGGCGAAAAGGGCGGGGAAGUGGAGGACCGGGUGGGUGUCACUGGACUGCCUGCAUGGAAUACCGACCCCGGCGCGGCCCCGGUGGUAUUUUCUGUGGCGUUUCAAGUGUACCCGACACAUGCUAUGGUGUCAGGGGCGCCGCGGGCGGGCGUAUUUCGGCGGGUUUGUGAGAGGCAUCUGGGUAAACGCCUCGCUGUGCCGGGGUCCUCUCACGGCCGCCUUCCCGCCCCGAGGGAGCCGAGCCGGGCCGAAUUAUUCCGAAGAGCCGAGUGUGGGCGAAGACAGCCGAGUUGAGCCGAAGAGCCGAGUGUGGCCGAAAAGAGCCGAGAUGAGCCGAAGAGACGAGUUUAGCCGACAACAGCCGACUUGAGACGAAGAGCCGAGUGUAGCCGACAACAGCCGACUUGAGACGAAGAGCCGAGUGUAGCCGAACACAGCCGACUUGAGACGAAGAGCCGAGUGUAGCCGAGUGUAACCGGGAGCCGAGUGUAGCCGACAUUGGCCGCGUUUAGACAAAGAGCCGAAUAUGACCGAGUUCAGCCCAACCGGGCCGAGUUCAGCCGAAGAGCCGGAAAAGCCGAAUUUAGACGAAAAGCCGAACCGAAACGAUUUUAGACCUAAGCCGAACCAAGCCUAAUUUAGCCGAGUUUAUUUAAACGGAACCGAACGACGCCGCAGCGCUCUGCCUGCAGAGCGCCGGUGCAGACGGCAGGGGGCGGUGUAUAAAGGUGCUCAGGAAGCAUGCGUCCCUUAGAGUCCCACGGAAAGGUUCUCAGUGCGCUCUCUAUCAAGUGCUAUGAGUCUUGAUAAAUUGGAGAAGAGCCCAAGAGAAAUUUUUCAUCCCUUGAUAUAAAAGGGAUCGGUGAAUUUUAACUUUGGAGUCCUCUGUGCUAAGGAUGCUCAGCUUACAGGUGAGAUGAAAUGUUCAGUAAUGUAUUUGCUGCAGCUCUGCUUACCCAAGCUUUGGGUUCCUUCUGUCCCACUGGGAGUUGCCCAAUUUGGUUGCAUCUGGUGAAAUUCACCCUGAGACCUUACAGAACCAGCUCCAACUACGUGAGAGCCAUUUGCAGUUCUCUCCAGACGCCUGGAGAACGGGCGACGUUUCUGAGGAUCCGGCGAGCGUGCUUCUGUCAAAACUCAGUCUGUGAAGUUUCUGGGGAAAACCCUUCUGUGUCCUGAAGGGUUCAAACUCUGGUGAGGAUCCAGUUAUCAGGUGCUCGCCUGGAUGGUUCCAGCUCCCAAAGGGAAAGACUCUCGUAUCCUUGUCGUCGGGCUCGGUGCUGCCCAAGAAGAUACAGAGACUAAAAAAAUCAUAAGAAGCAAAAUAUGACUGCAGGGAAAAGAAGCUGGAGAGAACAGAAGGCUGCCAUUUGUGUGCCAUCGGUACUCACCACGGAAGGGAGCUGGGGAUUGUUGCAGCUGUUGGGAACAAACCGCUUCUCGUCACACAGAAAUGGAAUUGGGACGACGCCUCGGCCAGCCCCUCUCUGCCAUCGUCUCCUGAAUCUGCAGCAGAGCAGUUCCAGUCCAUCCGGGCACGUGUAAUUCAGUUCCUGAUGAUCUGAGCACACGGAGCAGCGCUCAGCUGCUGUUGGGGGCUCACGGAAGGCAGAGUGUGCAUUGUCAUCUUCCUGAACCUACAGACGAAUCAAAGUGAGAAGCAACAGCGUGGAAAUCAGUUGCAUAUAUGCUAAAUAAAACUUGCAGAUUUUUUUAAGAA